This 274-nucleotide ribosomal RNA is filed under the name uncultured bacterium. RNAcentral describes it as "partial 16S ribosomal RNA". It matches the Rfam family "Bacterial small subunit ribosomal RNA", at positions 523 to 796 of the family's 1533-position model. The record is from RNAcentral.
AUACGGAGGGUGCAAGCGUUACUCGGAAUCACUGGGCGUAAAGCGCGCGCAGGCGGCUAUUUAAGUUGGAUGUGAAAGCCUACGGCUCAACCGUAGAACUGCAUCCAAAACUAUUUAGCUAGAGAGUGGGAGAGGAAGAUGGAAUUAGUUGUGUAGGGGUAAAAUCCGUAGAGAUAACUAGGAAUACCAAAAGCGAAGGCAAUCUUCUGGAACACUACUGACGCUGAGGCGCGAAAGCGUGGGGAGCAAACAGGAUUAGAAACCCUAGUAGUCC